This 84-nucleotide ribosomal RNA is filed under the name Halyomorpha halys (brown marmorated stink bug). Its description in RNAcentral is "partial 12S ribosomal RNA". Lineage: Eukaryota; Metazoa; Arthropoda; Insecta; Hemiptera; Pentatomidae. The record is from RNAcentral.
AAAAUUAUAAAUCACACAAAAACUUACAUAUAAAAAUUAUCUAAACAGCAAUUUAUAAACAAACUAGAAUCAAAUUUCAAUCAA